GUUUACUUAAUUCAUUUAACUGUUAUGGGAAAUGUGUUCUCGCUAUAUUCUAUUUGGGUUAUUUCCCACUUUUCAGUUUUAGAUCUUGUUAAACUUGAACGUACCAUUCGCAAGGAGAAGCAACCAGCAUCGAUCAACAACUCUUCUUCAUCGAUUGACACCACUUGUGAGCAAGCAACGAUCUCCACUACUCAAACACCGAUUGGCACCAACCCGCAAGCAAGUGACAUGGCCGUGACUCUUGUACUGAUACAGAAUGCGAAUGGAGACCUGCAUUUCUCUGAGUGUCAUUUGCUGAUGCAGCAGGUCAGAGAUUUGAUGAUCACGGGGUGUAAUCCCUGAUUCAAAAGAAGCUUCUUUAGAA
Molecule: long non-coding RNA, 364 nt
Filed under: Brassica napus (rape)
Lineage: Eukaryota; Viridiplantae; Streptophyta; Magnoliopsida; Brassicales; Brassicaceae
Description: long non-coding RNA (BNAP_LNC024265)
Source: RNAcentral